GUGAAAUUGAACUCGCUGUGAAGAUGCAGUGUACCCGCGGCAAGACGGAAAGACCCCGUGAACCUUUACUAUAGCUUGACACUGAACAUUGAGCCUUGAUGUGUAGGAUAGGUGGGAGGCUUUGAAGUGUGGACGCCAGUCUGCAUGGAGCCGACCUUGAAAUACCACCCUUUAAUGUUUGAUGUUCUAACGUGGACCCGUGAUCCGGGUUGCGGACAGUGUCUGGUGGGUAGUUUGACUGGGGCGGUCUCCUCCUAAAGAGUAACGGAGGAGCACGAAGGUUGGCUAAUCCUGGUCGGACAUCAGGAGGUUAGUGCAAUGGCAUAAGCCAGCUUGACUGCGAGCGUGACGGCGCGAGCAGGUGCGAAAGCAGGUCAUAGUGAUCCGGUGGUUCUGAAUGGAAGGGCCAUCGCUCAACGGAUAAAAGGUACUCCGGGGAUAACAGGCUGAUACCGCCCAAGAGUUCAUAUCGACGGCGGUGUUUGGCACCUCGAUGUCGGCUCAUCACAUCCUGGGGCUGAAGUAGGUCCCAAGGGUAUGGCUGUUCGCCAUUUAAAGUGGUACGCGAGCUGGGUUUAGAACGUCGUGAGACAGUUCGGUCCCUAUCUGCCGUGGGCGCUGGAGAACUGAGGGGGGCUGCUCCUAGUACGAGAGGACCGGAGUGGACGCAUCACUGGUGUUCGGGUUGUCAUGCCAAUGGCACUGCCCGGUAGCUAAAUGCGGAAGAGAUAAGUGCUGAAAGCAUCUAAGCACGAAACUUGCCCCGAGAUGAGUUCUCCCUGAGACUUAGAGUCUCCUGAAGGAACGUUGAAGACGACGACGUUGAUAGGCCGGGUGUGUAAGCGCAGCGAUGCGUUGAGCUAACCGGUACUAAUGAACCGUGAGGCUUAACCUUACAACGCCGAAG
Molecule: ribosomal RNA, 907 nt
Filed under: Salmonella enterica subsp. enterica serovar Infantis
Lineage: Bacteria; Pseudomonadati; Pseudomonadota; Gammaproteobacteria; Enterobacterales; Enterobacteriaceae
Also listed under: 2 other names
Description: bacterial LSU rRNA
Rfam family: Bacterial large subunit ribosomal RNA
Source: RNAcentral